RNAcentral lists this ribosomal RNA (384 nucleotides) under uncultured bacterium. RNAcentral's name for it is "bacterial SSU rRNA". It matches the Rfam family "Bacterial small subunit ribosomal RNA", at positions 30 to 416 of the family's 1533-position model. The record is from RNAcentral.
AUUGAACGCUGGCGGCAUGCUUUACACAUGCAAGUCGAACGGUAACAGGCCUUCGGGUGCUGACGAGUGGCGAACGGGUGAGUAAUGCAUCGGAACAUACCCAGUCGUGGGGGAUAACGUAGCGAAAGUUACGCUAAUACCGCAUACGUCCUGAGGGAGAAAGCAGGGGAUCGCAAGACCUUGCGCUGAUUGAGCGGCCGAUAUCAGAUUAGCUAGUUGGUGAGGUAAAGGCUCACCAAGGCGACGAUCUGUAGCGGGUCUGGGAGGAUGAUCCGCCACACUGGAACUGAGACACGGUCCAGACUCCUACGGGAGGCAGCAGUGGGGAAUUUUGGACAAUGGGCGCAAGCCUGAUCCAGCCAUGCCGCGUGAGUGAAGAAGGCC